UUGAAGACUGUCUGUGGCACAUCUCGUUCUCUGUUUUAUUGCUAUUGGUAUUUUUCAUUGGAUAAUGGCAGAAUUAGAGAUCAAUGGAGGAGAGGACCAGAGAAGAAAAACUUCAUCAUCUAAAUGUUAAGGAUGGAGCAGUCAAAAAAUUGUGCCACUUCCCACUGCCUGGAAUGUGUUCCUUUUCACUUCCAGCCUUUCCAGCCGCACUGAUGCUGCUGUCCGACAGCCCCAACACUCACUGCAUGCCACUCGCAGUGAAGGACGGCUGGAGGUCCGCAUCAUCUCUGUGCUCAGAGGAUGACUCUGAAGAAGGGGGGAAAUUUCACACCGAAUGCUUGCUAGCUCUCAAGGCGUACCAUGAAAGGAAACGGGACCAGUUUCUGCGUGUUGCACUGAUUUUCAGAAUUUUCUGAAAUCGGGACUAAUUGCCGAACUGUUUCGGUGUUAGGAAAAGGCACAAAAACGUUCCAAACUGCAAAGGGAGACCGCACGGAGCGACGAGGAGCAGCGCAGCCGCGGCUCUUUGCGCAGAGCAGCUCCUGCGUCGCCUCCCGCGCCCAGCAGAGGGUGUGAGAAAGGACAGAGCCGAAACCUCCGAUCUUGGAUCCGGUUUGCUGGUCAGGAUGAGGAACCGCGGUUGGGAAGGGGCUGCGCAGGGUGCAGUGCCCUUGCCCGGAGGUGCUCCACAGCCGUGGAGAUGCGGCACUUGGGGACGUGGGCUGUGCUUGGAGCUCUCAAAGGUUUUCUCCAACCCAAAGGAUCGCACAGUUCUGUUCUGCGAUCUGCUCAGCGCAGAAGAGCCCAAUGCACUUGAAGCCUGUGCCACCCUGCGCUGAGGGACGUGCUUUAGUGCAAAUGUUCCCACCGCACGCCCGCUUUGCCCUUGCCGAGGGAGCGCGUUAAGUGCAUGGGACCCGAAGCCAGCCCUGCCGCACCCCAUCCGCGCGGUUCCGUGGGGAAACUUCAUCUUUCAUCCUGUUAGGACUCCGCUGUAGGAAAGCUGCGACUUCCUAAGGCUGAGAUAAACUAAAAUAAACAUGAUUCAAUCGAGGAGACUCA
RNAcentral lists this long non-coding RNA (1062 nucleotides) under Phasianus colchicus (ring-necked pheasant). RNAcentral describes it as "lncRNA (ENSPCLG00000015779.1)". The record is from RNAcentral. Lineage: Eukaryota; Metazoa; Chordata; Aves; Galliformes; Phasianidae.